This is a non-coding RNA of Rana temporaria (common frog), 427 nucleotides long. NCBI's taxonomy places the organism in Eukaryota, Metazoa, Chordata, Amphibia, Anura, Ranidae. The record is from the annotation of a RefSeq genome assembly.
UAUCUGCUGGCUGUCAUCUUCAUUUCUAUUCAGGGAUCCUGUGGAGAGAUUGUGAUGACUCAGACUCCGGAUUCUAGCUCUGUGUCCCCGGGACAGACAGUCACCAUCACAUGUACAUCCAGUUCUGCUAUUUAUAGCUACAUAGCCUGGUACCAACAGAAGCCCCAACAACCUCCAAAGCUUCUUAUAUCAGGUGCCAGCACUCGGCAAUCCGGGAUCCCGGACAGGUUCAGUGGAUCAGGAUCUGGAUCUAAAUUCACAUUAACAAUUAAUGGAGCGACUGAAGAAGAUGAAGCAAAAUAUCACUGUCAGCAGUAUAGCUCCUACCCUCUCACACAGUGAUACAGAGCCGUACAAAAACCUCCUUCCUCUUUUAUAAAGAAACACAAUCACAGAUGUCAUCACUGGAACAUUCAUGUGAAUAAAU